GUUUCCAGUCAGUGAAUAUAUUUAUUAUUGUGGUUCCGUACAGCAGAGGGAAGGACAGUAGAGCUGGACGCAUCGUAUUCACACACUUUCACCAGCUCACUUCAGAAGAGAGAGAAGUGAGAAAAAUUUCCAACAGAAGGACUCAAGUGGAACAAUGGGCUUCAAUUGUGGAAUCAUUUCACUGAUCAUCCUGCUGAAUAUUAAGGGUUCUCUGGGUGAAAGUGCUAAAGUGUUCUGCAGUCCUCAGACUAUCUGUGCUCUGCGGGAAUCUGAAGUAGAUCUGGAGUGCUCGUAUUCAAACACCAUCAAACCUCAGCAAAUCUUCUGGUUCAGCUCCAAACUAAAAGCUAAAUGGAGGAAUGAAGAAGAUCCAGAGGAUUUAGCUUUAGAUUCAGACUACGCAGGA
Molecule: long non-coding RNA, 406 nt
Filed under: Astyanax mexicanus (Mexican tetra)
Lineage: Eukaryota; Metazoa; Chordata; Actinopteri; Characiformes; Acestrorhamphidae
Description: lncRNA (ENSAMXG00005011882.1)
Source: RNAcentral